CAGUAGCCGCGGUAAGAUAGAGGAUGCAAGUGUUAUCCGGAAUGAUUGGGCGUAAAGCGUCUGUAGGUGGCUUUUCAAGUCCGCUGCCAAAUCCCAGGGCUCAACCCUAGAUAGGUCGUGGAAACUACCAGCUAGAGUAUGGUAGGGGUAGAGGGAAUUUCCAGUGGAGCAGUGAAAUGCAUUGAGAUCGGAAAGAACACUAAUGGUGAAAGCACUCUGCUGGGCCGACACUGACACUGAGAGACGAAAGCUAGGGGAGCAAAUGGGAUUAGAUACCCGUGUAGUACCUGUCUCUUAUACA
This 301-nucleotide ribosomal RNA is filed under the name uncultured bacterium. RNAcentral describes it as "partial 16S ribosomal RNA". It matches the Rfam family "Bacterial small subunit ribosomal RNA", at positions 509 to 809 of the family's 1533-position model. The record is from RNAcentral.